GAUGAACGCUGGCGGCGUGCCUAAUACAUGCAAGUCGAGCGAAUGGAUUAAGAGCUUGCUCUUAUGAAGUUAGCGGCGGACGGGUGAGUAACACGUGGGUAACCUGCCCAUAAGACUGGGAUAACUCCGGGAAACCGGGGCUAAUACCGGAUAACAUUUUGAACCGCAUGGUUAGGACGUGAAAGGCGGCCUCGGGUGUCACGUAUGGAUGGAACCGCGUCGCAUUAGCUAGUUGGUGAGGUAAGGGCUCACCAAGGCAACGAUGCGUAGCCGACCUGAGAGGGUGAUCGGCCACACUGGGACUGAGACACGGCCCAGACUCCUACGGGAGGCAGCAGUAGGGAAUCUUCCGCAAUGGACGAAAGUCUGACGGAGCAACGCCGCGUGAGUGAUGAAGGCUUUCGGGUCGUAAAACUCUGUUGUUAGGGAAGAACAAGUGCUAGUUGAAUAAGCUGGCACCUUGACGGUACCUAACCAGAAAGCCACGGCUAACUACGUGCCAGCCGCCGCCGUAA
This 515-nucleotide ribosomal RNA is filed under the name uncultured bacterium. RNAcentral's name for it is "partial 16S ribosomal RNA". It matches the Rfam family "Bacterial small subunit ribosomal RNA", at positions 28 to 523 of the family's 1533-position model. The record is from RNAcentral.